GAUGAACGCUGGCGGCGUGCCUAAUACAUGCAAGUCGAGCGAACGGACGAGAAGCUUGCUUCUCUGAUGUUAGCGGCGGACGGGUGAGUAACACGUGGAUAACCUACCUAUAAGACUGGGAUAACUUCGGGAAACCGGAGCUAAUACCGGAUAAUAUUUUGAACCGCAUGGUUCAAAAGUGAAAGACGGUCUUGCUGUCACUUAUAGAUGGAUCCGCGCUGCAUUAGCUAGUUGGUAAGGUAACGGCUUACCAAGGCAACGAUGCAUAGCCGACCUGAGAGGGUGAUCGGCCACACUGGAACUGAGACACGGUCCAGACUCCUACGGGAGGCAGCAGUAGGGAAUCUUCCGCAAUGGGCGAAAGCCUGACGGAGCAACGCCGCGUGAGUGAUGAAGGUCUUCGGAUCGUAAAACUCUGUUAUUAGGGAAGAGCAUAUGUGUAAGUAACUGUGCACAUCUUGACGGUACCUAAUCAGAAGGCACGGCUAACUACGU
RNAcentral lists this ribosomal RNA (495 nucleotides) under uncultured bacterium. Its description in RNAcentral is "partial 16S ribosomal RNA". It matches the Rfam family "Bacterial small subunit ribosomal RNA", at positions 28 to 506 of the family's 1533-position model. The record is from RNAcentral.